GUGNUCGCUUCAGCAGCACAUACGCUAAAAUUGGAACUAUACAGAGAAGAUUAGCGUGGUACCUGCGCAAGGAUGACACGCAAAUUCAUGAAGUGUUCCAUAUUUUU
Small nuclear RNA from Neotoma lepida (desert woodrat), 107 nucleotides. Lineage: Eukaryota; Metazoa; Chordata; Mammalia; Rodentia; Cricetidae. The record is from Rfam.